This 305-nucleotide ribosomal RNA is filed under the name uncultured bacterium. Its description in RNAcentral is "bacterial SSU rRNA". It matches the Rfam family "Bacterial small subunit ribosomal RNA", at positions 337 to 634 of the family's 1533-position model. The record is from RNAcentral.
GCCUACGGGGGGCAGCAGUAGGGAAUCUUCCACAAUGGGCGAAAGCCUGAUGGAGCAACGCCGCGUGGGUGAAGAAGGUCUUCGGAUCGUAAAACCCUGUUGUUAGAGAAGAAAGUGCGUGAGAGUAACUGUUCACAUUUCGACGGUAUCUAACCAGAAAGCCACGGCUAACUACGUGCCAGCAGCCGCGGUAAUACGUAGGUGGCAAGCGUUAUCCGGAUUUAUUGGGCGUAAAGGGAACGCAGGCGGUCUUUUAAGUCUGAUGUGAAAGCCUUCAGCUUAACCGGAGAAGUGCAUUGGAAACU